This 260-nucleotide long non-coding RNA is filed under the name Homo sapiens (human). Its description in RNAcentral is "HSALNT0394913". The record is from RNAcentral. Lineage: Eukaryota; Metazoa; Chordata; Mammalia; Primates; Hominidae.
AACCCUGAGACGGACACUAAGUUUAGGCCAGAAACACCUAGGCAUAGAGGCAAGCAACCUUCUACCUACUUCAAUCUACUGAAAUUUUGGAUUUCAUGUCAUUUACAAGGCUCAGUUUUCUGCACCUGCCUUGGUAUUUGACAACUCCAGCCAAUUUUCCACUUGCUUCCUCACCAAUGCUUCUUCAGCUUGAAGACUAACAUCUAGAAGAGUCAUGAAGUCUAAAGUCAAGAGGAGUCUUAUCUUCUAGAAAGUUUUUC